GAUGAACGCUGGCGGCGUGCUUAACACAUGCAAGUCGAACGAAGCACUUUAUUUGAUUUCCUUCGGGACUGAUUAUUUUGUGACUGAGUGGCGGACGGGUGAGUAACGCGUGGGUAACCUGCCUUGUACAGGGGGAUAACAGUUGGAAACGGCUGCUAAUACCGCAUAAGCGCACAGCAUCGCAUGAUGCAGUGUGAAAAACUCCGGUGGUAUAAGAUGGACCCGCGUUGGAUUAGCUAGUUGGUGAGGUAACGGCCCACCAAGGCGACGAUCCAUAGCCGACCUGAGAGGGUGACCGGCCACAUUGGGACUGAGACGCGGCCCAAACUACUACGGGAGGCAGCAGUGGGGAAUAUUGCACAAUGGGCGAAAGCCUGAUGCAGCGACGCCGCGUGAGCGAAGAAGUAUUUAGGUAUGUAAAGCUCUAUAAGCAGGGAAGAUAAUGACGGUACCUGACGAAGAAGCACCGGCUAAAUACGUG
RNAcentral lists this ribosomal RNA (481 nucleotides) under uncultured bacterium. RNAcentral's name for it is "partial 16S ribosomal RNA". It matches the Rfam family "Bacterial small subunit ribosomal RNA", at positions 28 to 507 of the family's 1533-position model. The record is from RNAcentral.